AAAGAAUUAGUUAAUUAAUAAUAUUAAAUUGUCAUUUUAAAGUUAAUAUUUAUAUUAUUCUUUU
This 64-nucleotide transfer RNA is filed under the name Melissodes sp. Its description in RNAcentral is "tRNA-Asp". Lineage: Eukaryota; Metazoa; Arthropoda; Insecta; Hymenoptera; Apidae. The record is from RNAcentral.